Molecule: long non-coding RNA, 670 nt
Organism: Oncorhynchus tshawytscha (Chinook salmon)
Lineage: Eukaryota; Metazoa; Chordata; Actinopteri; Salmoniformes; Salmonidae
Source: Ensembl
UGCCCGCAAGGCUCUUCUUUGACAAUCUGGGAGCCAUCUUACUGUAUGCUGUGGUGGGGACUCUCUGGAAUGCCUUCUGCACAGGCUUCUGCCUCUACGGGGUCAAACUGCUGGGGGUCAUAGGUGAGUCAAGCUGCUGGGGGUCAUAGGUGGGUCAAGCUGCUGGGGAUCAGGGGUGAGUCAAGCUGCUGGGGGUCAGGGGUGAGUCAAGCUGCUGGGGAUCAGGGUGAGUCAAGCUGCUGGGGUUCAGGGGUGAGUCAAGCUGCUGGGGGUUCAGGGUGAGUCAAGCUGCUGGGGGUCAUAGGUGAGUCAAGCUGCUGGGGGUCAGGGGUGAGUCAAGCUGCUGGGGGUCAGAGGUGAGUCAAGCCGCUGGGGGGUCAGAGGUGAGUCAAGCUGUUGGGGGGUCAGAGAUGAGUCAAGCUGCUGGGGGUCAAAGGUGAGUAAAGCUGCUGGGGGGUCAGAUGUGAGUCAAGCUGCUGGGGGUCAGAGGUGAGUCAAGCCGCUGUGGGUCAGAGGUGAGUCAAGCCGCUGAGGUUCAGGCAGGUCAGAUGUGUCUCUGUUUAGACCAGAAGGUUCAGGCAGGUCUGAUGUGUCUCUGUUCAGACCAGAAGGUUCAGGCAGGUCUGAUGUCUCUCUGUGUUCAGACCAGAAGGUUCAGGCAGGUCUGAUG